Molecule: ribosomal RNA, 253 nt
Filed under: uncultured bacterium
Lineage: Bacteria
Description: partial 16S ribosomal RNA
Rfam family: Bacterial small subunit ribosomal RNA
Source: RNAcentral
UACGGGGGGGGCAAGCGUUGUUCGGAAUUACUGGGCGUAAAGGGCUUGUAGGUGGCCAACUAAGUCAAACGUGAAAUCCCCCGGCUUAACCAGGGAACUGCGUCUGAUACUGGAUGGCUUGAGAUUGGGAGAGGGAUGCGGAAUUCCAGGUGUAGCGGUGAAAUGCGUAGAUAUCUGGAGGAACACCGGUGGCGAAGGCGGCAUCCUGGACCAACACUGACACUGAAAAGCGAAAGCCAGGGGAGCAAACGGG